CAUUAACCUCUUUCUUCUCUCACCUCACCUGUGCACCAUUUGUAGGCCCUCCACAGAGGUUCUACGUUUUUCAUCACACACUUUGUUGCAUGUCCAUAGAAUGUACCUAUAUUUUACAACUUUCAGCAAUGGAUCUCUUGGCUCUCGCAUCGAUGAAGAAYGCAGCGAAUCGCGAUAAGUAAUGUGAAUUGCAGAUUUUCAGUGAAUCAUCGAAUCUUUGAACGCACCUUGCGCUCCUUGGUAUUCCGAGGAGCAUGCCUGUUUGAGUGUCAAUUCGUAUUAUCAAUCCGAUCAUGGUCGGCUUGGAGUUGGGGGUUGCUGGCCUUACCAGGUCAGCUCCUCUGAAAUGUAUUAGCGAACAGAACGGAUGCACGGCCUCUAGACGUGAUAAUGAUCGUCUGGGCUGGAGUCUAGAAGUUUGCAAGCUUAGUUACUAGUCUUUCGACGAACACAAGCAAGCGAAGCAAGUGGCUAAAUGAAGUCCCCCUUGGUUACUAGUUGUACGACGAACACAAGCACACGAUCGUGGCAAGCCAAAGGCUACAUGGAGUCCCAAGCUAUAUGGCAGAAAGGCUACAUGAAGUCCCCAAAGCUAGCAAGCUUAGUUACUAGUCUUUCAAUGAACACAAGCAUGGCUAAAAUGAAGCCUCUAGCUAAGCAAGCUUAGUUACUAGUCUUUCGAUGAACACAAGCACACGAGAUUUAAACUUGUGGCAAAGUGAAUGGCUAAAUGAAGUCCCCAGAGCUAGCAAGCUUAGUUACUAGUUGUAUGGUGAACACAAGCACAAGCCAAAAGGGUUACAUGGAGUCUCAAGCUAUACAAGCUUAGUUACUAGUCUUUCGACGAACACAAGCACACGAUGUGGUAUGGCAGAAAGGCUACAUAAAGUCCCCAAAGCUAGCAAGCUAUUCAACAAACACAGGCAUGCAAGCCAAAGGCUACAUGAAGCCCCUAGCUAAGCAAGCUUAGUUAAAUGAGCUUAGUUACUAGUCGUACGACAAACGCAAGCACACUAUACAAGCUUAGUUACUAGUCUUUUGACGAACACAAGCACACAAUGUGGUAUAGUCCUAGUUACUAGUCGUACGACAAACGCAAGCAUUACUUUAGCUAAGCACACAAGAUUUAUGAUGCAUGAAUGACCU
This 1146-nucleotide ribosomal RNA is filed under the name Boletus nobilis. Its description in RNAcentral is "eukaryotic LSU rRNA". The stretch from base 118 to 272 matches the Rfam family "5.8S ribosomal RNA". The record is from RNAcentral. Lineage: Eukaryota; Fungi; Basidiomycota; Agaricomycetes; Boletales; Boletaceae.